UAUAUAGAAAGAGAGAGAGAGAUGUAGGUAUAUAUAUAUAUAAAUAUAUAUAUAUAUAGAGAGAGAGAGAGAGAGAGAGAGAGUAGGGUUAGAAUACUUGUAAAAGUAUCAUGGGGGUGAUACUUGUGUGUUUUUAGCCCUUGGAUGGAGAGAUGUGAGGUUGAGAUGAUGGUGGUAGGUGGUGGUAGGUGGUGGUAGGUGGAAUAGUGUUUAAUCCAAGGGCUAUUAAUAAUCAAAAAGUAGAUCCAAUGGCUUAAAACCUAAUAGCACCAUGAUGGUGAUACUUGUAAAAGUAUCAUAGCUCAACUCUAUAUAUAUAUAUAUAUAUCA
This 330-nucleotide long non-coding RNA is filed under the name Ananas comosus (pineapple). Its description in RNAcentral is "long non-coding RNA (ACOM_LNC008897)". Lineage: Eukaryota; Viridiplantae; Streptophyta; Magnoliopsida; Poales; Bromeliaceae. The record is from RNAcentral.